CGGAGCGCUUCAGGAAUUACCUGGAAGGCACUUGCUUGGAGUGGCUCCUCAGGCACCUGGAGAACUGGAAAGAAACGUUGCUGCGAGCAGAUACAGGGACCGCGAGGCCUACCCGAUCUCCCCCCGACUGGGGCUGGCUUUCCACAGGGAAAAUAGACUCAGUGUCAGAAUAGUGCCCCUCCCACGGAUGGGAAGAGGGAGAUCUGCUUCGGUGUUUAUAUUCCUAAUAGAGAGUGACUCACCUAGAGGGUGCUUCUCUCUAAAGGACAGUGAAGGAUCCAGUCUCCCUCUGGGAUGUAGGCUGAGACCAUCCCUUAAAUAACCCAUCAGCAGUUCCCUUUGACCCGGGCAGCCACCUUGUGAACCAUGACUUUUUCUGUCAAGGCCUUAUUCUCCAUCUGAGAACAUCUUUGGAGAUGUGACUCUGUUUUCUGAGCUACUGACCCUCCACUGCAGUCACAAGACCAUUAGAGUGUUCCCCACAUUACACCUGCACACUUCUAUCCUGUGCACUCUCCCUGAUUCUAAAACAUAAUUCCACAUCCCAGAGAAUCUAGGCUGGUCUCUGGGUUUUGUGUUUUUACCUUCCAAACCAAUUAUCUUUUCCAUCAUCGGGAUGGUCACAUGAAGGUAACCCAAAGUGUGAUUUUCUGAUUCUUCUUCCUCAGAAACCCCAAAAGAUAUAGGACCCGCCAUCCCAUGAGGUCCCCCUGAGGUGCUGGGCCCUAGGCUUCUACCCUUCAGAGAUUAUCCUGACCUGGGAGCGUGAUGGGGAGGACCACACCCAGGACACAGGGCUUGUGGAGACCAGAACUGCAGAAGAUGGGAACUUCCAGAAGUGGGCAGCUGUGGUGGUACCUUCUAGAGAGGCGCAGAGUGUGAGCCAGCUGCUUCACGGAGGACUGAGUGAUGCAAGAUUUGUUCACACUCCCAUCUUUUUGAUAUCAAGAGCCCUGGACAUUUCUAUCUGCUAAGAAUGUCUGAAUGUGUCUGUGUUUCUAUUAGCAUAAUGUGAAGAGGUGGGAAAAUUGUCCCACUGCUACCCAUCAUGACCCCUCCCCAAACUCACCUGUUUUCUCUUCCCUGAUCUGCUUUCCUGUUCCAGCAGAGGUGGGACUAAAUCAUCUCCAUCCCUGUCUUUACUUCAUGCUACGCGUAUCUCUAUUAGAUAUGGGUUUUUUUUCUAUUCUUCUCAUAUGGGACCGAUGUGGUAAUAAAAGAGAAGACUCCUAAAGUUGAGACAGGAAAUAAAUAAAAGCACUGAGAAUCUU
Hyaena hyaena (striped hyena) is the source of this 1271-nucleotide long non-coding RNA. RefSeq lists it as uncharacterized. Lineage: Eukaryota; Metazoa; Chordata; Mammalia; Carnivora; Hyaenidae. The record is from RefSeq and is a predicted model, not a curated record. The transcript has 2 exons.